Molecule: ribosomal RNA, 926 nt
Filed under: uncultured bacterium
Lineage: Bacteria
Description: bacterial SSU rRNA
Rfam family: Bacterial small subunit ribosomal RNA
Source: RNAcentral
AGAGUUUGAUCCUGGCUCAGAGCGAACGUUAGCGGGAGGCUUAACACAUGCAAGUCAAGGGGAAAAUUCCGGCUUGCCGGAAUGAUUAUACUGGCGAACGGGUGAGUAACGCGUAGGCAACCUGCCUUUAUGAAUGGGAUAACAUCGAGAAAUUGGUGCUAAUACCGUAUAAUGUUCUUUUAUCACCUGGUAGAAGAAUCAAAGGUGCUUUUGUACCGCAUAGAGAUGGGCCUGCGUUCCAUUAGCUUGUUGGUAAGGUAACGGCUUACCAAGGCCACGAUGGAUAGCUGAUCUGAGAGGGUGAUCAGCCACACUGGGACUGAGAUACGGCCCAGACUCCUACGGGAGGCAGCAGUGAGGAAUAUUGCGCAAUGGAGGAAACUCUGACGCAGCAACGCCGCGUGGGGGAUGAAGCACUAUGGUGUGUAAACCCCUGUAGACAGGGACGAAUGAUAUGUGUUCGUAAGGGCAUGUAUGUGACGGUACCUGUAAAGUAAGCACCGGCUAACUCCGUGCCAGCAGCCGCGGUAAUACGGGGGGUGCAAGCGUUGUCCGGAAUUACUGGGCGUAAAGGGCGUGUAGGCGGCCUAUUAAGUCAGAUGUGAAAGCCCACGGCUUAACUGUGGAACUGCAUUUGAAACUGAUAGACUUGAGUAUGAGAAGGGGUAGUGGAAUUCCCAGUGUAGCGGUGAAAUGCGUAGAUAUUGGGAAGAACACCAGUAGCGAAGGCGGCUACCUGGCUCAUAACUGACGCUAAUGCGCGAAAGCGCGGGGAGCAAACAGGAUUAGAUACCCUGGGUAGUCCGCGCCGUAAACGAUGGAUACUAGAUGUUGGUUGCUUUAUAGCGAUCAGUGUCGGAGCUAACGCAUUAAGUAUCCCGCCUGGGGAGUACGAUCGCAAGGUUGAAACUUAAAGGAAUUGACGG